GUCGCCUCUCCGUGUUGUCUUGCACGUACGCAAGUCACCCCUGUAGGACACCAGUUGGUCCGUGCUCUCUCUUUUCAGAUACAAACGCAUUACUUGAAACCUGAAAAGAUGGAUUUUUGCCUAAGAGGUGAUACCGGGAAUCCAGCGGCAGUGCAAGCUAAACCCUCAACUCUCCAGCUCCGUCUGGAUCCUGAUCCAUAGCCUGCAGUCAGUCCUCGGGGAGCAGCGGUGCCCUGGCUGGGCCAAUGGCAGCUACUUUGAGGGGAAGGGGGGCUUGAGGCCGCGGGAUGGGUCCAGGGUGAAGGGACAGCUCCUGAAGCUCGGUGGUCACUGCCUCGCUAUGAGGGCUCCGGGC
Anoplopoma fimbria (sablefish) is the source of this 355-nucleotide long non-coding RNA. RefSeq lists it as uncharacterized. Lineage: Eukaryota; Metazoa; Chordata; Actinopteri; Perciformes; Anoplopomatidae. The record is from RefSeq and is a predicted model, not a curated record. The transcript is spliced from 3 exons.